RNAcentral lists this long non-coding RNA (3004 nucleotides) under Sus scrofa (pig). RNAcentral's name for it is "lncRNA (ENSSSCG00055007956.1)". Lineage: Eukaryota; Metazoa; Chordata; Mammalia; Artiodactyla; Suidae. The record is from RNAcentral.
AAGGCUGCACUCAUGGCAUAUGGAGAUUCCCAGGCCAGGGGUGCAAUUGGAGCUACAGCUGCCGGCCACAGCCACAGCCACAGCAACACGGGAUCCAAGCUGCGUCUGUGACCUACACCACAGCUCAGGGCAACACCAGAUCCUUAACCCACUGAGUGAGGCCAGGGAUUGAACCUGCAAUCUCCUGAUUCCUAGUCGGAUUGGUUUCUGCUGCGCCACGAUGGGAACUCCUCCAGGCCAGAUUUUAAACCUUAAUUCCUUAUCCAUUUAAAAUGCUCCUCUCAGAUAAUGUGAGAAGAAAAAAAAACGUGUGUGUGUGUGUGUGUGUGUGUGUGUGUGUGUGUGAGAGAGAGAGAGAGAGAGAGACUGGGUCACUUCAAUGUACAGUAGAAAAUUGACAGAACACUGUAAGCUAAAUAUAAUGGAAAAAAUAAAAAUCAUUAUAAAAAAUAAAUAAAAUGCUCCUCUCACAUAUAUAUGUAUGACUAGGUCACUUUGCUGUACAGCAGAAAUCAGCACAACAUUGUAAAUCAACUAUACUUCCAUUUUUCUAAAUGUUAAAGAAAUAAAAAAUAUAUCCUCUCUUGGGUGUGGAAUGUAAAUUGAUGGAGCCACUAUGGAAGGUUCCUCCAAAACCUAAAAACAGAGUUGCCAUAUAAUCCAGCAUCCCACUCCCAGGCAUAUGUCCAAACAAAACUAUAAUUCAAAAAGAUACACGAACCCCAAUGAUCAUAACAUAACUACUUACAAUAGUCUAGACAUAGAAGCAAACUAAAUGUCCAUCAACAGAUGAAUGGAUAAUCAUGUGACAUAUAAUAUGAAUAUUAUUCAGCCAUUAAAAAAGAAUGAAAUUGGAAAAAAAAUGAAAUUGAAAAAAAAAACUGAAUAUUAUUCAGCCAUUAAAAAAAGAAUGAAAUGAAAAAAAAAGAAAUUGAAAAAAACCUGUGGCUCAGCAGGUUAAGAACCUGACAAGUAUCCAUGAGGGUGCAGGUUCAAUCCCUGGCCUCACUCAGCAGGAUAAGGAUCCAGUGUUGCCAAAAGGUGCAGCAAAUGUGGCUCCAAUCUGGCAUUGCUGUGGCUAUGAUGUAGGCCUGCAGUUGCAGCUCUGAUUAGACCCCUAGCCUGGGAACUUCUACAUGCCACAAGUGCAGCCCUGGGGGGAAAAAAAAAUGAAUGAAAUAAUGCCAUUUGCAGCAACAGGGAUGGACUUAGAGAUUUUCAUACUGGAUUUCCUGCUGUGGCACAAGGGGAUUGGCAGCACCAUGGGAGCACUGGGAAGCAGAUUCGAUCCCCUGCCUGGUACAGUGCUGCUACAGCUGCAGCUGAAGUCACAACUGCAGCUCAGAUCCGAUCCUUGGCCCAGGAACUCCAUAUGCCACAGGGUGGACAAAAAUAAAAAUAAAAAUAACCAGCGAGGUUGUCAUACUAAGUGAAGUAAGUCAGGGAAAAAAAAAAAAAGACAAAAACCAUGUGAUAUCACUAAUAUGGGGAAUCCAAAAUAUGAUACAAGGAAUCCCCUGCAAAUUAAGGACCCGGUGUUGUCGCUGCUAUGGUCACAGCUGUGGCAAGGGUUUGCUCCCUGGCCCCAGAACUUCCACAUCCAUGGGAGUGACCAAAAAAUACAUAUAUACAUUUCCUAUAUAUAUGAAUGACUCAAAUGAACUCAUUUAUAAAAGAGACUCACAGACAAAAAACAAACUUACGAUUACCUGAGGGGGAAGAUGAUGGAGGAGGGAUAAAUUAGGAGUUUGGGAUUAGCAAAUACAAACCAUUAUAUAUAAAACAGAUUAAAAAAACAAGGUCCUACUGUAUAGCACAGGGAACUAUAUAUCCUGUAAUAAACCAUAAUGUUAAAGAAUAUGAAAAAGAAUACUGAAUCAUUUUGCUAUGUCCCAGAACCUCACACAACACUGUAAAUCAACUAUAUAAUUUAAAAAUAAAAUUAAAUACAUACAUACAUAUAAAAUAAUGUUUUCUUGAAGUACUCUAGACGCCUGAGUGGAAAAGGGAAAACAAUGAAGCUAUGCUCACCUAGGUAGCACAUUGAUGGGGGUAAAAUAUUCCCUUGGUGCUUUUGCUUUCCGGUGACUGGAAGUGACAUGUUUCCUUCUGACAGGGCCCAUGAGAGGCCAUAGGGAUCAACGCCAAGUUUCAGGGAGGUGGCUCCAAUAAGGCGUCCAAGAAUGUGAGUGCAAAGGUCAGUAAUUCAACACUGAAAAUGGUGAUACGCCAUCAAGAUCCCAACUUGCUCCCUGAGUCCCUCUGAGACCAGAGCAGAUGUUAUCUGAGCUGACCUCACCCUGUUCCCUCUCCACCAGCCCAUCACAUGCAGCACCAACACUUACUUUCUUCCUGAGUCUCAAGCAAGUGCUAGACUCCUCCAAGGUCCAGGAGGGAGCUGGCUGAAUCUCUGGCUGCCCUCUCCCCUCAUCCUAUUUCCCAAUAGCCCAGGGCUGCCCUCCAAGACCUUCCUGGAUCCCAUUCUCAACCUUAUUUUAUUCACAGGUAAUACUGGGAUCAAGAACCAAAAUGGCCUGCUCGAGAUAAAGCAGUCACUAAAGGACAGACAUCCAGAUCUAAUUACUCAUUUUCGGUCUCCCUAAUGAUACCCUGAUGCCUCCUGUGACCAAAUUCUUGCCCAGAGAGGUCAGGUAAAACAACCUAGAAACUCUAUCAGGCUAAAGCAAGCAAAUAGAGGAAGGGAUUAACAUACUUGAAAAACAGGGCAACCACAAAGGAAAACUAAACAAUACAGUCACAAAAACCAAAAAUAAGAAACACAAGUAUAUAAUAAAAGGAAAUCAUCAAACCAAAAAAAGAAAGAAACAAAGGAGAAACAUAGAAUCAACUGGAAAACAAGGUUUAAAAUGCGUUGCCAUGAGCUGUGGUGUAAGUUGCAGACGCGGCUCCGAUCCCGCUAUUGCUGUGGCUCUGGUGUAGGCCACCCACUACAGCUCCAAUUAGACCCCUAGCCUGGGAACUUCCAUAUGCCUCAGGAGUGGCC